This 1359-nucleotide ribosomal RNA is filed under the name uncultured bacterium. Its description in RNAcentral is "bacterial SSU rRNA". It matches the Rfam family "Bacterial small subunit ribosomal RNA", at positions 28 to 1381 of the family's 1533-position model. The record is from RNAcentral.
GAUGAACGCUAGCUACAGGCUUAACACAUGCAAGUCGAGGGGCAUCAGGAAGAAAGCUUGCUUUCUUUGCUGGCGACCGGCGCACGGGUGAGUAACACGUAUCCAACCUGCCCUUUACUCGGGGAUAGCCUUUCGAAAGAAAGAUUAAUACCCGAUAGCAUAAUGAUUCCGCAUGGUUUCAUUAUUAAAGGAUUCCGGUAAAGGAUGGGGAUGCGUUCCAUUAGGUUGUUGGUGAGGUAACGGCUCACCAAGCCUUCGAUGGAUAGGGGUUCUGAGAGGAAGGUCCCCCACAUUGGAACUGAGACACGGUCCAAACUCCUACGGGAGGCAGCAGUGAGGAAUAUUGGUCAAUGGGCGCUAGCCUGAACCAGCCAAGUAGCGUGAAGGAUGAAGGCUCUAUGGGUCGUAAACUUCUUUUAUAUAAGAAUAAAGUGCAGUAUGUAUACUGUUUUGUAUGUAUUAUAUGAAUAAGGAUCGGCUAACUCCGUGCCAGCAGCCGCGGUAAUACGGAGGAUCCGAGCGUUAUCCGGAUUUAUUGGGUUUAAAGGGAGCGUAGGUGGACUGGUAAGUCAGUUGUGAAAGUUUGCGGCUCAACCGUAAAAUUGCAGUUGAUACUGUCAGUCUUGAGUACAGUAGAGGUGGGCGGAAUUCGUGGUGUAGCGGUGAAAUGCUUAGAUAUCACGAAGAACUCCGAUUGCGAAGGCAGCUCACUGGACUGCAACUGACACUGAUGCUCGAAAGUGUGGGUAUCAAACAGGAUUAGAUACCCUGGUAGUCCACACAGUAAACGAUGAAUACUCGCUGUUUGCGAUAUACAGUAAGCGGCCAAGCGAAAGCAUUAAGUAUUCCACCUGGGGAGUACGCCGGCAACGGUGAAACUCAAAGGAAUUGACGGGGGCCCGCACAAGCGGAGGAACAUGUGGUUUAAUUCGAUGAUACGCGAGGAACCUUACCCGGGCUUAAAUUGCAGUGGAAUGAUGUGGAAACAUGUCAGUGAGCAAUCACCGCUGUGAAGGUGCUGCAUGGUUGUCGUCAGCUCGUGCCGUGAGGUGUCGGCUUAAGUGCCAUAACGAGCGCAACCCUUAUCUUCAGUUACUAACAGGUCAUGCUGAGGACUCUGGAGAGACUGCCGUCGUAAGAUGUGAGGAAGGUGGGGAUGACGUCAAAUCAGCACGGCCCUUACGUCCGGGGCUACACACGUGUUACAAUGGGGGGUACAGAAGGCAGCUAGCGGGUGACCGUAUGCUAAUCCCAAAAUCCUCUCUCAGUUCGGAUCGAAGUCUGCAACCCGACUUCGUGAAGCUGGAUUCGCUAGUAAUCGCGCAUCAGCCACGGCGCGGUGAAUACGUUCCCGGGCCU